Molecule: transfer RNA, 67 nt
Filed under: Paraburkholderia sp. CI2
Lineage: Bacteria; Pseudomonadati; Pseudomonadota; Betaproteobacteria; Burkholderiales; Burkholderiaceae
Description: tRNA-Leu
Source: RNAcentral
CGAGGCGUGUGGGUGGUUCUGCAUGGGGUGCAGGUAGUCGGAGGUUCAAAUCCUCUCGCCCCGACCA